AAUAGAUACCCAGGUAGUCCUAGCCGUAAACGAUACUCGCUAGGUGUCGGCCACGGUGCGACCGUUGUCGGUGCCGUAGGGAAGCCGUGAAGCGAGCCACCUGGGAAGUACGGCCGCAAGGCUGAAACUUAAAGGAAUUGGCGGGGGAGCACCACAACGGGUGGAGCUUGCGGUUUAAUUGGAUUCAACGCCGGAAAUCUUACCGGGACCGACAGCAAUAUGAAGGCCAGGCUGAAGACUUUGCCGGAUUAGCUGAGAGGUGGUGCAUGGCCGUCGUCAGUUCGUACUGUGAAGCAUCCUGUUAAGUCAGGCAACGAGCGAGACCCACGCCCACAGUUGCCAGCGUACUCUCUGGAGUGACGGGUACACUGUGGGGACCGCCGCUGCUAAAGCGGAGGAAGGAAUGGGCAACGGUAGGUCAGUAUGCCCCGAAUAUCCCGGGCUACACGCGAGCUACAAUGGUUGGUACAAUGGGUAUCUACCCCGAAAGGGGACGGGAAUCUCCUAAAACCAAUCUUAGUUCGGAUUGAGGGCUGCAACUCGCCCUCA
RNAcentral lists this ribosomal RNA (549 nucleotides) under uncultured bacterium. RNAcentral's name for it is "bacterial SSU rRNA". It matches the Rfam family "Archaeal small subunit ribosomal RNA", at positions 728 to 1276 of the family's 1478-position model. The record is from RNAcentral.